RNAcentral lists this ribosomal RNA (482 nucleotides) under uncultured bacterium. RNAcentral describes it as "partial 16S ribosomal RNA". It matches the Rfam family "Bacterial small subunit ribosomal RNA", at positions 30 to 507 of the family's 1533-position model. The record is from RNAcentral.
AUUGAACGCUGGCGGCAUGCUUUACACAUGCAAGUCGAACGGUAACAGGCCGCCAGGUGCUGACGAGUGGCGAACGGGUGCGUAAUGCAUCGGAACGUGCCCAGUCGUGGGGGAUAACUACUCGAAAGAGUAGCUAAUACCGCAUACGAUCUAUGGAUGAAAGCGGGGGACCGUAAGGCCUCGCGCGAUUGGAGCGGCCGAUGUCAGAUUAGGUAGUUGGUGGGGUAAAGGCUCACCAAGCCAACGAUCUGUAGCUGGUCUGAGAGGACAACCAGCCACACUGGGACUGAGACACGGCCCAGACUCCUACGGGAGGCAGCAGUGGGGAAUUUUGGACAAUGGGCGCAAGCCUGAUCCAGCAAUGCCGCGUGCAGGAAGAAGGCCUUCGGGUUGUAAACUGCUUUUGUACGGAACGAAACGGCUCUGGUUAAUACCCGGGGCUAAUGACGGUACCGUAAGAAUAAGCACCGGCUAACUACGUG